Molecule: long non-coding RNA, 225 nt
Organism: Pomacea canaliculata
Lineage: Eukaryota; Metazoa; Mollusca; Gastropoda; Architaenioglossa; Ampullariidae
Exons: 2
Source: RefSeq, a predicted model, not a curated record
AGAUAUAUGACGUCUGCUUGUGCUUAUAUGCAGGGGCAAAAAUGAAGAUCAAAUCCGGAUAUACAACACAACAACUUUUGAGGUUUCCUCUUCUUUUUGGUGCAAUCCUGGGCACUUUUGUGCUGGGUUUUAUGUACAGAAAGGAGUACUUUAGAGACGAGAUCGAGGCUGUCAGGCAGAAAAAUUGUGAUGACUCAGUGCAAAGAAAAGAAAUCAUGGAACGAG